GCUUGUGGCCACGCCACCCUGAAAACGCCAGAUUUCAACUGAUCUCAGAAGCUAAGCAGGGUCAGGCCUGGGACACCACCUGGGAAUACCAGGUGGUGUAACCU
Molecule: ribosomal RNA, 104 nt
Filed under: Monopterus albus (swamp eel)
Lineage: Eukaryota; Metazoa; Chordata; Actinopteri; Synbranchiformes; Synbranchidae
Source: RNAcentral